AACGCACAUUGCGCCCGCCAGUAUUCUGGCGGGCAUGCCUGUCCGAGCGUCAUUUCAACCCUCGAACCCCUCCGGGGGGUCGGCGUUGGGGAUCGGCCCCUCACCGGGCCGCCCCCGAAAUACAGUGGCGGUCUCGCCGCAGCCUCUCAUGCGCAGUAGUUUGCACACUCGCACCGGGAGCGCGGCGCGGCCACAGCCGUAAAACACCCCAAACUUCUGAAAUGUUGACCUCGGAUCAGGUAGGAAUACCCGCUGAACUUAA
Molecule: unclassified non-coding RNA, 262 nt
Filed under: uncultured Hypocreales
Lineage: Eukaryota; Fungi; Ascomycota; Sordariomycetes; Hypocreales
Description: sequence contains 5.8S rRNA gene, ITS2, 28S rRNA gene
Rfam family: 5.8S ribosomal RNA (bases 1-52)
Source: RNAcentral